This 434-nucleotide ribosomal RNA is filed under the name uncultured Oscillospiraceae bacterium. RNAcentral describes it as "partial 16S ribosomal RNA". It matches the Rfam family "Bacterial small subunit ribosomal RNA", at positions 341 to 792 of the family's 1533-position model. Lineage: Bacteria; Bacillati; Bacillota; Clostridia; Eubacteriales; Oscillospiraceae. The record is from RNAcentral.
ACGGAAGGCAGCAGUGGGGAAUAUUGGGCAAUGGGGGAAACCCUGACCCAGCAACGCCGCGUGAAGGAAGAAGGCCUUCGGGUUGUAAACUUCUUUUACCAGGGACGAUAAUGACGGUACCUGGAGAAAAAGCAACGGCUAACUACGUGCCAGCAGCCGCGGUAAUACGUGGGUUGCAAGCGUUGUCCGGAUUUACUGGGUGUAAAGGGCGUGUAGGCGGCGCUGCAAGUCAGAUGUGAAAUCCCGGGGCUCAACCCCGGAAAUGCAUUUGAAACUGUAAACCUUGAGUAUCGGAGAGGCAAGCGGAAUUCCUAGUGUAGCGGUGAAAUGCGUAGAUAUUAGGAGGAACACCAGUGGCGAAGGCGGCUUGCUGGACGACAACUGACGCUGAGGCGCGAAAGCGUGGGGAGCAAACAGGAUUAGAUACCCUGGUA